This 460-nucleotide ribosomal RNA is filed under the name uncultured bacterium. Its description in RNAcentral is "partial 16S ribosomal RNA". It matches the Rfam family "Bacterial small subunit ribosomal RNA", at positions 338 to 795 of the family's 1533-position model. The record is from RNAcentral.
CCUACGGGGGGCAGCAGUGAGGAAUAUUGGUCAAUGGACGAGAGUCUGAACCAGCCAAGUAGCGUGAAGGAUGACUGCCCUAUGGGUUGUAAACUUCUUUUAUAUGGGAAUAAAAUGUUCCACGUGUGGGAUUUUGUAUGUACCAUAUGAAUAAGGAUCGGCUAACUCCGUGCCAGCAGCCGCGGUAAUACGGAGGAUCCGAGCGUUAUCCGGAUUUAUUGGGUUUAAGGGGAGCGUAGGUGGAUUGUUAAGUCAGUUGUGAAAGUUUGCGGCUCAACCGUAAAAUUGCAGUUGAAACUGGCAGUCUUGAGUACAGUAGAGGUGGGCGGAAUUCGUGGUGUAGCGGUGAAAUGCUUAGAUAUCACGAAGAACUCCGAUUGCGAAGGCAGUUCACUGGACUGCAACUGACACUGAGGCUCGAAAGUGUGGGUAUCAAACAGGAUUAGAUACCUUUGUAGUC